Ictalurus punctatus (channel catfish) is the source of this 1852-nucleotide long non-coding RNA. NCBI's taxonomy places the organism in Eukaryota, Metazoa, Chordata, Actinopteri, Siluriformes, Ictaluridae. The record is from Ensembl.
AGAAUCAGUAGGACUUUCCUCCUUGAGAUAGACAGAACACAUUUCAAUAGACGUAAAGGAGUAGAAGUGACGUGACGCUGAAUUUCAUUCCAGGAUGAAGAUCCUCCUCAUCUUCAUCCUCUGCCUUCUCUCAGGUCCAGUAGACUGCUCUGAUGUGAUUGGUUACUCAGGAGGAAGUGUCAUUAUGAUAUCUAAUAUCAACUGGUACACAAGCAAUAGUAAAUAUAUUUGUAAGGUGAAAGGAAACGACUGCAUCGAUAUAAUACGUGCUGAGACCAAACGCAAAAAAACACAAGAAGGAAGAUUUUUUUUGUAUUCAAACACGUAUAACUUAUUCCUAGUACUGAUCAGAAAGCUGAAGCCACAGGAUGCUGGAACAUACAGAUUUGGAUUGGAGAAUCAGAGCAACGCCACUGUGAACCUAAAAGUUGUUAAUGAUUCUUGUUGUGCUGGGACAAAAUUAAAGACCGCUUUUGUUGGGCAGAAUAUCACCAUCACAUGUAGCUAUCCAGGGGAGUAUGAGAGUAACAUCAAGUAUGUCCUCAUGCUGGAUCACGACAUGAAUACUGAACACGUUGUUGAUACUGACAAAGAAUUUCAGAACGGAAGAUUCUCCAUUUCUGAUGACAAAAGUGCUAAAGUUCUCAGAAUGAACCUCAGCGAUGUGAGAGAAGCUGAUGGAGUAUUUUAUUUAUUUGGAGUGUGGAAAGAUGGGUCAGUCAGAUAUUACUCCUACUUUACAGAGAUUCAGCUGCAUGUAACAGGAUUGAGCACGAGCAUUCAACCAACAACAACAACAGGCACCGACAUGACGACCUCAGCAGCACUGACAGAAACUCCAUCUGCAGUGUGUUUCAGUUCCUCUGCCAUCAUCAUCGGUGUGUGUGUCUGUGUGGCUCUGCUGCUGAUUGGAGGAUUUGCACUGAUGAUCUACAAACUGAGACACAAGAGAACACAAGGUUACUUCUGAUCAUAACACCGAUUCAGCUCAUCUGUACGAAAAUUUCAGAAUGAGCUCAAUAUGAAUCUGCACCAGGACACAAACCAAUCAGACUGUUGAGCUGUUAUUCUUACUGUUCUGAGCUGCCUCGUAGUGCCUCAACUCCCAAUGCUGUAGUGUGUCUCUCUCUCUCUCUCUCUCUCUCUCUGUCUUUCUCUCUCUGUCUUUCUCUCUUUUUUUCUCUCUCUCUAUCGCUCUCUCAUUCUCUGUCUUUCUCUCUCUUUCUCUCUCCCUUGCUCUCUUUCUCUCUCUCUAUCGCUCUGUCUCUCUCUCUCUCUCUAUCGCUCUGUCUCUCUCUCUCUCUCUCUCUAUCGCUCUGUCUCUCUCUCUCUCUCUCUCUAUCGCUCUCUUUGUUUCUUGUAGUUUUUACAUUUGUUUAGUUAAAGAUAAAGUGAUGAUUGUGAGCAAGGUGUUAUGAAACUUAUUAUCUAUAUAAAUGAAACAUUAUCGAUGUAUAAUGACUGAUAAAUGAUAUUAUUAUUAUUAUUAUUAUUAUUAUUAUUGUUAUUGUUAUUGUUAUUAUUGUUGUAAUGAUUACUUAAUUAAUUGUUUCUUAACUAGUUAUCCAUUUUAUAUCAUGACAUUACUGUGCUUUAUUCUGAUCUGUUAUAGGAGUUACUUUAUUACAGUUUAAAUAUGAACCCAUUUAGUGCUGAGAUCUCGUUCAACACAUCGUACGCUCUGUUUCGAUUACGCUGUUGAGGCUUAAGAAGGAGAGCUAUAUUCCAAAUAACUGUCUAUAUCUAAUUGUGUAUUUCUGUUAUAUGUCAGUGAAAUUCUCUAUAUCAAUAAAAACACACUUCCUGUCCUUUAAACACAGCAUUCAUUUUUCUCAGCACUCUAAGUGGAGCC